RNAcentral lists this ribosomal RNA (467 nucleotides) under uncultured bacterium. RNAcentral describes it as "partial 16S ribosomal RNA". It matches the Rfam family "Bacterial small subunit ribosomal RNA", at positions 28 to 507 of the family's 1533-position model. The record is from RNAcentral.
GACGAACGCUGGCGGUGUGCUUAACACAUGCAAGUCGAACGGUAAGGCCCUUUCGGUGGUACACGAGUGGCGAACGGGGGAGUAACACGUGAGUAACCUGCCCUCAUCUCUGGGAUAACAGUCGGAAACGGUUGCUAAUACUGGUUAUGAGCUUGCUAGUCAUCCUGUGGGUUGGAAAGAUUUUUUUUGGUUAGGGAUGGACUCGCGGCCUAUCAGCUUGUUGGUGGGAUAGUGGCUCACCAAGGCUUUGACGGGUAGCCGGCCUGUGAGAGCGACCGCCAGAUUGGGACUCAGAUGCGGGCCAAAAUCCGGCAGGAGGCAGCAGUGGGGAAUAUUGCACAAUGGAAGGGAGUCUGAUGCAACAACGCCGCGUGCGGGAUGAAGGCCUUCGGGUUGGAAACAGCUUACAAGUGUGACGAAGCGUUUUUGUGACGGUAGCAGUAGAAGAGGCACCGGCUAACUACGUG